This 488-nucleotide ribosomal RNA is filed under the name uncultured bacterium. RNAcentral describes it as "partial 16S ribosomal RNA". It matches the Rfam family "Bacterial small subunit ribosomal RNA", at positions 28 to 507 of the family's 1533-position model. The record is from RNAcentral.
GACGAACGCUGGCGGCGUGCUUAACACAUGCAAGUCGAACGGUGAUGCUCCAGCUUGCUGGAGUGGAUCAGUGGCGAACGGGUGAGUAACACGUGAGCAACCUGCCCCAGACUCUGGAAUAAGCGCUGGAAACGGCGUCUAAUACUGGAUACGAAACUGGCCCGCAUGGGCAUGGUUUGGAAAGUUUUUCGGUUUGGGAUGGGCUCGCGGCGUAUCAGCUUGUUGGUGAGGUAAUGGCUCACCAAGGCGACGACGGGUAGCCGGCCUGAGAGGGCGACCGGCCACAGUGGAACUGAGACACGGUCAAGACUACUACGGGAAGCAGCAGUAGGGAAUCUUCCGGAAUGGGCGAAAGCGGGACGGAGCAACGCCGCGUGAGGGAUGAAGGUCGGCGGAUAGGAAAACUCUGGGAGGAGGGAAGAACAAAUGGGUAAGUAACAAUGCACGUCAGGACGGGACCUAAUCAGAAAGCCACGGCUAACUACGUG